ACUUGACUUUCUUGCCCCUCACCUCUCUCUCUCUUUUUCAUAUAAUCCAAUUUUAAAUAUGGCUUUACUCAUUCCUCAUGUCAAACGUGAAACCCCCCCAAGUCUCAUUCAUUAUUCACCAAAGUCUCACUCAUUAUUCAACAAAGUCUCACUCUCAUAAUUAAUUCUCUUAUAAACUCCAUCAAACCAUAGCAUAACAUGAAUUCAUCCAUUCACAUUUUCACAUUUACUACUAUCUUAUUAAACUAAACUUUGGUAUAUGAAAUAAACACUCAUUCAUCUAGGUUUCAUACCAUAAUAACAAAUCAGGAUCUGUUUUCUUCACUGUUUUUGUCUUCUAGCUUCUUCUGAAGAUGGAAGAUUAUGAGGUUAUAGAGAAACUUGGAAGAGGAGCUUUAGGUGCAACUUUUCAUGUUCUUCAUAAAACUGAUAGAAAGAGGUAUGUGUUGAAGUAGUUUCGCUUGUCUAAGCAUACAGAGAAGUCCAAGUUGACAGCGUACCAAGAGUUGUUUUAUUUCAGGUUCACGAUGGAAAACUCACACGAUUCAUUUGAGGUUGAUCCCAAUGAAGUUCAUUCCACUGAUGGUGAUAUAGAAUUAAAUGAUGGUGAGGGUGACAGUUAUGAAAGCUCAUGUCGACGAUGUUGAUAAUACCGAUGAAGAUGAUUCGGCUGAAUUAGAUGCAGUUGAAGGGGAUGAUGAUGUCGACGAUGCUAAUAAUGGCGAUGAAGAUUAUUCGGCAGAAUUAGAUGCAUCUGUAGGCGAUGAUGAUGAUGUCGACGAUGCUGAUAAUAGCGAUGAAGAUGAUUUGGCAAAAUUAGAUGCAGUUGUAGGCGAUAAAAGGGUAAGUAUUGGUAACAUGACUUCUGCUGAUAUUCGUGCUAUGGAAUUUGAUUUUGUUGAUGAAGCUUAUGAUUUUUAUUAUAAGUAUGGUAAAUGCAAAGGUUUUUCCGUAAGGAAAAGUGAUAUUAGGAGUAGAGGGUCUGAAGGUAGUAAAAUAAUAGUAAUGAGGCAGCUUGUAUGCAACAAGCAUGGUUUAAGAGACGAUAAACACGUUAGUAGGUUAGAUAGGAAAAGAGAUGAGAGAUGUAUUAACCGUACUAAUUGCUUAGCUAGGCUUCGUGUACACUACAACACAAAAAAGGGUAGAUAUGUAUUGUCAUUUUUUGAAGAGACUCAUAACCAUGAAUUAACCCCAUAUAGGUUUACGCACUUACACCCCGUUAAUCGUCAAAUUUCUGAAGCUGAUAAAGCUCACAUUGAUGGUCUUCAGUCGCAUAAAAUUAGAACUUGUCAUAUAAUGGGGUACAUGGUUGCUCAGAAGGGUGGUUACGCUAGUGUUGGAUUUACAAAGAAAGAUCUGUACAAUUAUUUAGAUAAAAAAAUGUGUGACCUUAUAAAAGAUGGUGACAUUGCCGCUUCUUUAAAUUAUCUAAAUGUAAAGUCGUCUACUGAUCCCAUGCUAUAUGCAAAAUAUACCGUCGACGGUGAUGGACGACUGAGGUCUCUUUUUUGGGCUGAUGGGAGCAGUAGAUCCGACUAUUUUUGUUUUGGCGAUGUGGUUGCGUUUGACACAACUUACAAGAAGAACAAAUACAACUAACUACCCAUUGGUUUUUUCAGGGUGUAACCACUACUCUUAGAAAGUUAUUUUUGGUGUUGCGUUGGUAUCAGAUGAAACAACAAGUACCUAUAAGUGGUUGUUGAGUUGUUUUUUAGAGUGCAUGGAUGAAAUAUACCCACAAGCAGUGGUAACAGAUGGGGAUGGUGCUAUGAGGGAGGCUAUAAAAUACAUUUUUCCCGAUGCAACUCAUCAGUUAUGUGCUUGGCAUUUGAAUAAGAAUGGAGGUGAAAAUGUAAAGAACUCAAAAUUUUUGGAAGGCUUUAAAAAAGCAAUGUACUCAAAUUUUUCAAAGGAUCAAUUUGAAGAAUUUUGGUCAGAGCUAAUUAAAGAAAAUGGACUUGAAGGAAAUCCAUUGGUAACCAAGACGUAUGAGAACAAGUCAUUGUGGGCAACUGCAUAUUUACGUGAAUUUUUUUUGGACGUAUAAGAACUACAUCUCAAUGUGAAGCGGUUAAUGCAAUAAUCAAGAGUUACGUAAGGAAGAAAUGAUGCAUUUUUGAAUUUAUGCACAAUUUUGACGAGGCUCUUAGACACUAUAGAAAAAAUGAACUGGUAGCUAAUUUUAAAUCCAAGUUUUCAGAACCGGUAUUGACAACUCACCUGCGUUUAAUUGAGAGCGAUACCGCUAAAAUUUAUACAGCCGAGAUUUUCAAAGAGGUUAAAGAUGAAAUUAUGAAGGCUGGUGCGUUGAUUGUUAAGAGCUUUGUAAGACAUGGUGAUGUGAAGAUGUACGUGUUGACAAAAAUAUUGUACGGAAAACUAUGAAAGACGAGUUGUUUUUGAUGGUAUAACAUUUCAAUGUUCUUGUAAGUUAUUUGAUUCUCGUGGGCUUCCAUGUUCGCAUAUUUUUUAUGUCAUGAAGGAAGAACAUGUUUCAAACAUUCCUAGUAGUAUGGUUCUGUCGCGCUGGACAAAGGAUGCGAAGAUUGAAUAUUUGAACAUGGUUGAUAAUGGUACAGUUGAUUCAAAUUCGAUGGAGGUUGCCCGUUUUGGUGCAUAUUGUUCUCUUUUUACCAGUUUUUGCAAAGAAGCUUCAAAGAAGAAUGGUGUUUAUGGGGAAAUAAUGGAGGACAUCAUGAAGAUACACAAAAAAUAUUGCAGUGCUGAUGAUCAAAUUGGGACACAAAGGGAGACGGUAGGUGAUCCAAUAACGGUGAAGAGUAAAGGUGCUCCGAAGAAAAAAAAGAAUGACACAAAAGCUGAUAGGUGUUGUUCAAAAUAGUACAGAAAACCUGUUAUCUGAGCGAAAUGUUGAGUUGGAGUCGGUGUCCAAAACUGAUUCUUUAAGCCAAAUUCCGAAGAUGUUACAGACAUGAGCAGGCACAAGCAGACAAAGCUGCUAGACAAAGAAGAAGAAAAUCAAAAGAACAUAAAAUGGUACAAAAUUUUCAGCAAAUGUGGAUGUUACAGGCACAAGCAGACAGAUGUGAAACUGAAAUCUGCAAAGAUGUGAAACUGAAAUUUGUUUGUGAAUCUGCAAAGUUGAUGAAUCUAUUUGAAAUUUGUUUAUGAAUCUGUAUGUGUAAUUCCAGCAUCCUAUUUGAAACUGACUUGGAUUAGUAACAAAUAUUAUGUGUACUGAAAUCUAUGCACCCUAUCUGUAGUGAUAUAACUUGUUGGAUAAUUUUAAUGUUGCAGUGUCUUGAAAUAAUCUUUGUUCAUAAUUAUAUUAUGGUAUAUCUAUUUUGGCCAUCACAUAUUAAAAUUGUGAUAAUUGAAGGCAUUUUGUUAUCGGCAUGCUGGCCUAUGUUGUGGCAUUUUGUUAUUUUCAUGAUGGCAUAUGUUGCUACAUAUGUAAUCUUAAUCAGUUCAACAAAUGACAAUAAUCCAAGAUGGCCUAUGUUGUGUACAUGAUGUUGGGAGCAUAUAAGUUAUUUGGCUGUGAUUUCAAGAUGUUGUAUCAGUUGAUUCCAUCAUGGUUUUAUUGUGGUAUCUGUUGAACAAAUUAAUGGUAUCUGUUGUGGUAUAUGUUGAACAAAUUAAUGGUAUAUCAAUUGACAAGCUCAUUUUGUUAU
RNA transcript from Vicia villosa (hairy vetch), 3638 nucleotides. RefSeq lists it as uncharacterized. The transcript is spliced from 5 exons. The record is from RefSeq and is a predicted model, not a curated record. Lineage: Eukaryota; Viridiplantae; Streptophyta; Magnoliopsida; Fabales; Fabaceae.